AUUGAACGCUGGCGGCAGGCCUAACACAUGCAAGUCGAGCGGAUGAAGGGAGCUUGCUCCUGGAUUCAGCGGCGGACGGGUGAGUAAUGCCUAGGAAUCUGCCUGGUCGUGUGGGCUAACGUACUGAAACGGGCGCUAAUACAGCAUACGUCCUGAGGGAGAAAGUGGGGGAUCUUCGGACCUCACGCUAUCAGAUGAGCCUAGGUCGGAUUAGCUAGUUGGUGGGGUAAAGGCCUACAAAGGCGACGAUCCGUUACUGGUCUGAGAGGAUGAUCAGUCACAAUUGAACUGGGACACGGUCCAGACUCCUACGGGAGGCAGCAGUGGGGAAUAUUGGACCAUGGGCGGAAGCCUUAUCCAGCCAUGCCGGGUGUGUGGAGAAGGGCUUCGGAUUGUAAAGCACUUUAAGUUGGGAGAGAGGGCAGGAAGUUAAUACCUUGCUGUUUUGACGGUACCAAAAGAAUAAGGCCCGGCUAACUUCGUG
Molecule: ribosomal RNA, 484 nt
Filed under: uncultured bacterium
Lineage: Bacteria
Description: partial 16S ribosomal RNA
Rfam family: Bacterial small subunit ribosomal RNA
Source: RNAcentral